This is an RNA transcript of Pistacia vera, 6285 nucleotides long. It is a transcript of the gene named glycogen synthase-like, with no coding region annotated. NCBI's taxonomy places the organism in Eukaryota, Viridiplantae, Streptophyta, Magnoliopsida, Sapindales, Anacardiaceae. The transcript has 8 exons. The record is from RefSeq and is a predicted model, not a curated record.
UGUUGGCAUGAAGGAAAACCAACUUUUACUUUUGUAUAACGGUAUAACCCAGCCAAGGAUGAAUAACAUUUAAUUUUUGAAAAUCUUAAAAAUCAACAACGGCUCUACGACCCACUACUUUCUUCUUUGUAUAAGUUACGCUUUUUUGUUGCUUGUGAACCAGUUUCAUUUCUCGCUAGUUUUGGCUUUCAAUUACAGAGAUUUUGUGUUCUUUGUUGGGAUUCAGAGAGUCACGGAUAUGGCGUUUUUCGCGGAUGAUGUGUACCUUUUGGCUACUGUGAGUGUGGAGGGGCGAGUUUAUGUUUGGAAGAUAUGUGAAGGUCCAGAUGAACAAGAUAAGCCACAAAUUACAGGCUUUCUUUGUCAGUCAAUUCCACUCUCUCUCUACUUUAUUGGUGUAUUUACGUUUGUGGGUGGGCUUAGUUUCAUGUAAUUUCGAUCUUCUGCAUCUGGGUUUUGUUAUGCAUAUGUACGGCGAUUGUGUUUUGAAUCUUUGGUUGUGUAUUUUUUUUCUUACACUAAUCUCUCUCUUCAAUAUACAUCAUGAAAUGUUGAACAAAAAUCAGUUUGAUUAAUUCUUGAUUUUGGUUUUGAUUUUCGAUUACGUGUGUUUUGAAAUUUAUGCCUAUGCUCUCUUGCUUGCUUUCUUUUUCAAUCAAUUCCACUCUCUCUCUACUUUAUUUGUUAUGUUUUAUUUAAUCGUUUAAUUUAUAUUUCUUGUUUAAUUCACCCCUCUGAUUGUGAUUUAAAUUCUGCAUUAAACAGAAGAUUUGAUAUCAGCGCUUUAAUCAAACAGAAGAUUUUGUUUUUGUCUCUUUGUAGUGCCCUUGUGGUGUACAUUUCUCUUUGAAAUAGUUGGGCAUCCUCCUUCGUAGGUUGUCCAUUUCAUUUCAUUUCAUUUUCUCAGUAAUCAAGCAAGAGGGUCUUCAAAAUUUUCUUUCUACUCAGUAAAUGUCACACUUUCAACUAUUAUUUGUUGCAGAUAUUGUAUGAAGUGUAGAUUAAUAUUAAUAAAAUAUCAUUUCCCUGAAAAUGGAGUGUGCAUUUGUGGGCAAGUUCUGUAUACAUUGUUGGUGAAUUCUAGGAGGCUUAAGAUUAAGAGAAGAAUGGAAAUGAGAACUCACAGCAAGUUUUACGCCUCUAAAUUCAAGAUUACAUCAGUGCUUUCUUAAGCAAAUCAUAAUCCUUCUUUGCAGGUAGCUACUGAAAAACAGGGAAGUCCAGCUGGUUUUGGUCUUGGAGAAUGGGUUUGGCCUUCUCCUGGGGAUGAAAUCCCAUUUUGGAUGAACAAAUUUCCCUCAACAAAUGUGAGCCCAGAAGUUUCAGCUGACAUAGAGAAGGACUCCAAUCUCUUGCACAUUAUUCAUAUUACAGCUGAAAUGGCACCUAUAGCAAAAGUUGGUGGUCUUGGUGAUGUUGUAAGUGGAUUGGCCUGUCCAUGUUUGUCACGCGGCCAUGCAAUAGAUGUAAUGCUCCCUUUCUAUGAGUGCAUUCAGAUACAGGAGAUCAAUGAUUUGGAAUUGAUCAAUACAUAUAACUCUUAUCAUGAUGGUGAUUGGUGGUAAAAGCCUAUCGUGGGUUAGUCUCAGGAAUCUCGGUGAUUUUUAUUGAAUCAUCAAAUCAGUUCUUCAAGGGGCAAUAUUUCUAUGGGGGUUCAUACAAUGAGCUGGAGGCAUAUGUAUUUUUCAGUCGUGCUUGCCUAGAAUGGAUGCAGGUGACUGGAGUUCAUCCUGAUAUCAUUCAUGUCCAUGAGUGGCAGACAGGUGCUUUGCCCCUGCUUUACUGGGAUAUGUAUCACCUUCUUUCGCUCAAGAAACCGAGAAUAGUGUUGACAAUCCACAACAUGGAGCAUUAUGAGGAAUGCAGAAAAGAGCAACUCAGUAAAUGUGGUCUUGAUGGAUCUAUAUAUGGAACUGAGGACAAGGCAGUCGAUGAUUGAACAAUUGGCCACAAUCCUAAGAGACUGAGCCUAUUGAAGGGUGGAAUUGUGUAAGCAGUGUUGUAAUAACCUCCAUCUAACCAUACACGUCUCAUCGUCUCCAUUUUGCCGGUAGAACCUCACAAAGAUCGACGUCAUUGGCCGCCGCACACACAGUGUUUCUUUCCAGCAGAUCCAACUCCGAUCUCCUUUUUCGGCGAGAAUCAGUUCUCACCGUCGGCACCAGCUUGCUCAGAAAAUGACGACGAGCAAAACUCACUAAGGUUCUAUUGCCUUUGAUGUCAAACUUCGACAGCUUCACCAGAUUUUGCCGCUAUCCUCGCCGGAUCUUCUGCUCCGAUCUGUUUGUUUGAUCCGUGUUACCUUUGGUUCUGGUUUCCGGUCAAAUUUGCUGGUUAUCAUGGGUACUUCUAGCUCAAACUCCACUUCCGUUGGUUUUUCUUUCUUGUCUCUCUAACUAAUCACCACUGAUAAGUUGAUUGGGAGUGCGAAUUAUUCUUCUUGGGUUGCCUUUGUCGAGUUAUGGUGUACGGGUCAAGGUCUAGAGGAUCACUUGACCACAAAGGCUAUUGACAUCACAUCAGAUAAGUCUUCCUGGAUCAAAACUGAUGCUUUAUUGUGUAAUCUAUUAUGGCAAUCAAUUGACACUAAUUUGCAUCCCAUUUACAAAACAUACUGCACAUGUUGUGAGAUAUGGAGUUAGGCUAAACUACUAUAUACCAAUGAUAUUCAACGCUUGUAUUCUGUUGUGUCCAAUCUCAUUCAUCUAAAACAAUAGGAUAUGAGUGUCAAAUUUUCUUGGUAAGAUGGUCUCCCUUAAGGCAAAGGACAAUCUUCUCUUACCCGCUGGUAAAUCUAUUGUAGAAGAUCUAGCACAAUGAGAUAAAUUCUUCAUGGUUUUAACCCUUGCUGCUAUUAGUCCUGAUUUCACUCCUGUUCGAGAUCAGAUUUUAGCUAGCGCUACUGUGCCGUCUCUUGAUGCAGUAUUUGCUAGGUUACUUCGGGUUUCAUCCCCAAGUACUAUCCCCAGUUCUACCGCUGUUGACUCUUUUACUCUGGCUUCUCAGUCUCAAACUACUUAUAAAGGAAAGUAGGGAGAUCAUGGUUGAAGCGGACGACCGAACUGUAGUUAUUGUCAUCGUUCAGGGCAUACUAGAGAAAAAUGUUACAAAUUACAUGGUUGCCCUUUUCAGACCGCUAAUGUUGCUUAGGCUGACCUUUGUUCUAACUCUUUUGAAGGACACAUUCAGUCAUCAUUAACUCUCAUUGAGGCUGAUUAUGAAGAGUACCUCUAAUUCCAGGCAAAUAAGCAGUCUUCUUCAUCUAUUGCCUCUAUCGCUCAAUCGGGUAAUUCAGUUGCAUGCCUUACUCAAUCUUCUUCUCUUGGACCUUGGGUUCUUGACUCGGGUGCCGCUGAUCACAUUUCUGGAUCGAGGCGCGGGAUAGAUGAUUAGCACAGGACAUGAGUCACAAGGCCUCUAUCAUCUCCAUCUAUCAUCUAUAGCAUGCACUGUCAUUGAAUCUCCAACACUCCUUCAUAAUCGUUUGGGUCAUCCCAGUUUAGUAAAGCUUAAAAAGAUGCAUCUUGGUCUAUUUAAUUUAUCGUCUUUAAAUUGUGAGUCAUCUCAGCUUGGAAAACAUUCUCGUAGCACCUUUCCAAAGCGUGUUAAUAAACGGGAUGCGUCCCUUUUUGAGUUAGUUCAUUCAGAUGUGUGGGGACCUUGUCGUGCGUCAUUUAUUUUAGGUUUUCAGUACUUUGUUACCUUUAUUGAUGAUUACUCAUGUUGUACUUGGUUAUUCCUAAUGAAAACUCGUUCCGUGUUAUUUUCCAUCUUUGAAUCUUUUUGUGCGGAAAUUAAGACUCAAUUUAAUUCUGUUAUUAGAGUAUUACGUACUCGCGAGUAUAUCUCUGAUCUGUUUACUAAAUUCAUGUCUUCUUAGGGAAUCCUUCAUUAGUCCUCUUAUGCUUAUACCCUACAACAAAAUGGGGUUAUUGAGCAUAAAAACAGACAUCUCAUUGAAACUGCUUGUACCUUACUUUUACAUAAUAAAGUCCCUUUUCGUUUUUGGGCAAAUGUUGUUUUGACCACCUGUUUCUUAAUAAUCGGAUGCUUUUUUUUGUCCUCAACGACAAGGUACCUCAUUCCAUUUUAUUUCCUGAUCAAUCGUUGUAUUCUAUCCCUCCUUGUGUCUUUGGGUGCACAUGCUUUGUCCAUGUUUUCCUUCCUGAUUAGGACAAACUGGCAGCUAAAUCUACUAAGUGUAUUUUCUUAGGGUAUUCACGUCUUCAGAAAGGAUAUAAGUGUUAUUCUCCAUUAACACAUCACUAUUCUCUCUCUGUUGAUGUUACGUUUUUUGAGUUGUCUCCAUUCUUUUCUUCUUCUACCAUAGAUUGUGAUUCAAUUACCACAAUCCUUCCCAUAUCGUACAUAACCAAUCUUCCAAAGUCUGUCAUAGUCCCCCAAUCUUCUACUACCGAGUCUCCCAUUACAAAUCAUAGUCUUGUUCCAUUUACAGGCACUAUUCUUGAUCUGGCUAGUGCCCUUGAGGCUCCUAUCGAUGGCAGUCCUGCUCCUAAUUCCUCCAAUGCCACAGUUCUCUCCUGAUGAUCAGUUUCCCAUUGCCAUUCGUAAAGGUAUGCGGUCUACUCGCAACCCUCAUUUGAUCUAUAAUUUUUUAAGUUAUCAGCGUUUAUAUUAUGCAUUUGUGUCCCACACUUUCUUCUGUUUCUGUCCCUUCAAAUGUUCAUGAGGCACUCUCUGAUCCCGGAUGACGUCAGGCAAUGAUUGAUGAGAUGACUGCUUUGCUUUAUAAUCACACAUGGGAGUUCGUUCCAUUAUCUCUAGGACAUUCGACUGUUGGGUGUCACUAGAUUUAUACGGUCAAAGUUGGUCUUGAUGGUCAGGUUGAUCGCUUAAAGUCCCGAUUAGUUGCCAAGGGCUACACUCAUAUAUGGGAUGAAUUAUUUUGAUACUUUUUCCUCGGUUGCUAAGAUGUCUUAUGUCCGCUUAUUCUUAGCAAUGACUGCUAUUCAACAUUGGCCUCUGCAUCAAUUGGAUAUUAAGAAUGUCUUUCUUCAUGGUGAACUUCAGGAAGACAUUUAUAUGGAGCAACCUCUUGGGUUUGUUGCUUAGGGGGAGUAUGCCUUGAUAUGCAAACUUCGUCGUUCUUUGUAUGGUUUGAAACAGUCUCCUCGUGCCUGGUUUGGAUGAUUCAGUACUGUUGUCCAAGAGUUUGGUAUGAUUCGGUGCGAGUUUGAUCAUUCUGUCUUUUAUAGACAUACAUCACUAAGACAAUGUAUCUAUCUAGUUGUUUAUGUUGAUGAUAUUGUGUCAUUACAGGGAGUGAUCAAGAUGAUAUUGAACAAUUGAAGAAGCAUUUAUUCAGACACUUUUAGACCAAAGAUUUAGGACUUCUUAAAUACUUCCUUGGAAUAGAAGUUGCUCAGUCCAAAUCUGGUAUGGUUAUCUCUCAGAGAGAGUAUGCACUAGAUAUUCUUGAAGAAACAUGAAUGUCCAAUUGCAGACCAAUAGACUCUCUUAUAGAUCCUAAUUUAAAACUCUCACCUGGACAAGGGGAGUCGCUGACUGAUCUUGGAAGAUACUAAAGACUGGUUGUAAACUUAAUUAUCUCACUAUCGCACGACUUGAUAUUUCCUUUUCUGUUAGUGUUGUAAGUCAGUUCCUACAGUCUCCAUGCAGUUGUUCAGAUUUUAAGGUAUAUAAAGGGUGCACCAGACAAAGGCUUGUUAUAUGAGAAUAGGGGUAAUUCACAUAUUAUUGGAUAUUCUAAUGCUGAUUGGGCAGGGUCUCCAUCUGAUAAACGUUCUAUUUUUGGUUUUUGUGUUCUUAUUGGAGGAAACCUAGUGUCUUGGAAAACUAAGAAGCAAACUGUUGUUGCUCGAUCAAGCUCAGAAGCUAAAUACUAUGCAAUGGCCUUAGGUACUUGUGAGCUCAUUUGGUUAAAACAACUUAUCAAAAAGUUGAAAUUUGAAGAAGUGUCACAAAUGAAGUUACUCUUUGAUAAUCAAGCUGCUUUCCAUAUUGUCUCUAAUCUAGUAUUUCAUGAGAGGACUAAACACAUAGAAAUUAAUUGUCAUUUUAUUCGGAAAAAAGUUCUAUCUGGAUGUAUUACCACUAGUCAAGUCAGUUCCAACUACUAGUUAGUAGACAUCCUCACUAAAUCUCUCAGGGGUUCGCGUGUUGAUUUUAUCUGUAGCAAGCUUGACACAUAUGACUUAUAUAUGACUUAUAUGCUCUAGCUUGAGGGAGAGUGUUGAAGUGUAUAAUUCUAUAUUAAGAUAUUAAGAUUGUAAUCAAUAUAUAUUAAGAACAAAAUUUGUAAAA